CCUAACAUUGGCAGAUACAGGGAUGGAUUAGAUGUUCAACAUCCUACUUGAUAUCCACUGUCACUCAUGAUGUUUAACCAUCUGGUGUAACUUGUAACAUAUGCAGCAUUCUAAUCAACUCCACAUGGCUAGAUUAAAGCAACAAUGGACCAUUGAAUUUCAUGCAUACCAAAUUCCUCACCUGCCAUUAGAAUUGAGAUAGAUCCUUCUAUUGAUCAUUUAACAUGGAAACUGACAAUCAUGCUUAGAAAACUGUACAAGAUGCUCCUCGAAAAUUAUAACUUAAGCUUACCACCAUGAAUAGAACCUAGCAAUCUUGCAAGAUAUAUGAGUCUGAUGCCAAUUUCACUUUGGCCAACCCAUUUUGUGACUUCUAACCUAGAGUUACUAAGUAUCCUGGAUAUGAAAAAUGGAUGGAUCUUGACCUAUUCUAUGGUCAAUGUCUAAGAAAACACAAAAUUAUAUGAAUGCACAACCAUGAAUUAUACCUUUAAAUAGUGUUCCAUGAUCAUUUUGAUGAGAAUGGCUUCUAUGGGGUUUAAUUUUGAUAGAACCUCUAAGAAAAGUAGAAUGUUCCCAUAUGAAGUUAAUAAGAAGUUGACUGGAACAUACCAACAUUUGGAAA
RNAcentral lists this long non-coding RNA (625 nucleotides) under Elaeis guineensis (African oil palm). RNAcentral's name for it is "long non-coding RNA (EGUI_LNC076373)". Lineage: Eukaryota; Viridiplantae; Streptophyta; Magnoliopsida; Arecales; Arecaceae. The record is from RNAcentral.